UACGGAAGGUCCGGGCGUUAUCCGGAUUUAUUGGGUUUAAAGGGAGCGCAGGCGGGACGCUAAGCGUGUUGUGAAAUGUACCGGCUCAACCGGUGAACUGCAGCGCGAACUGGUGUUCUUGAGUGAGUACGACGCGGACGGAAUUCGUGGUGUAGCGGUGAAAUGCUUAGAUGUCACGAAGAACCCCGAUUGCGAAGGCAGUCCGCGAGUCCUUUACUGACGCUAAAGCUCGAAGGUGCGGGUAUCGAAC
This 250-nucleotide ribosomal RNA is filed under the name uncultured prokaryote. RNAcentral describes it as "partial 16S ribosomal RNA". It matches the Rfam family "Bacterial small subunit ribosomal RNA", at positions 524 to 773 of the family's 1533-position model. The record is from RNAcentral.